AUGAUGACGAGGGGGGGAAGCACGCAGACACCCACCGCUCAGUGCGUGGCAUCAGAGGGUCCGGCCCCACCGCACCCCCCCCCUCCCCUCCACUCCCGACUCUCUGCGUGUGUGAGGGAGGAAGCCCAGCAGCCCCCACCUCACCCUCCCCAAUGCCGAGCCACUCCUGGUGGUGGUGGCAGGGCCCGGUGCCCGCGACGCAGCGAGGUCAGAGCAAUUCAGCGCUACUGAUGUUGUCGGUCAAGGCCCUGCGUGGCGCUGCGUCGACGCCACCUGCGCAGCGGGCAGAGUGCGAGGCAGGGGCCGUGCUCUCAGGGGACUGAAUCGGCGCCUUGCUGGACCGGCGUGUGUCGACGGCUGCCAUGGUCCCACGCGAGGUGGGGCCUCUGUGACAGGGCCGUGGGUGGCAGCGUGGGGCGUUGGACCCCGCGCUGUGUGGCAGAGAAGCGGACUUGUGUCUGAGGCGCGAAGGAAACGAAUAUAUUCGCUCUUGUGGCCAUCAUGGUGAUGUGGUGGACAGAGCGCCGGUGCGGCUCCCAUACACAGAUGCCCAAGCGGAUACCCGCACCGGGAGAUCAACUGCAUGACACAGAAAAGCGUACAGGAAAGAGAAAUGCCUCCCCCCCCCCCCUACGGAAGAAAGGAGCACCGGCACUGGCAGCGGCAUUGCUGCACAACUACAGUCUAUGCGCGUGUGCAUGCGCCUGUUCGAAAGACGCGCUGCAUGCCUGCCGGUAUGGCCCUCCCGGUGUGCAGGCGGCACAAUGCCACGCCCGCACACACCCCAGCAGUGGGAUCGGUUGAAGUGAAGGCACUGCCGCGCUGGAUCGUCUCGAUGCAGCUCACUCGCUCUCCCCCUCCUCCCUCCCCCCAAACGUUGGCGAAG
This 886-nucleotide unclassified non-coding RNA is filed under the name Leishmania donovani. RNAcentral's name for it is "gene:unknown". Lineage: Eukaryota; Euglenozoa; Kinetoplastea; Trypanosomatida; Trypanosomatidae. The record is from RNAcentral.